AACGAACGCUGGCGGCAGGCUUAACACAUGCAAGUCGAACGCUGUAGCAAUACAGAGUGGCGCACGGGUGAGUAACGCGUGGGAACGUGCCCUUUGGUACGGAAUAACGUCGGGAAACUGACGCUAAUACCGUAUACGCCCUUCGUGGGAAAGAUUUAUCGCCAAAGGAUCGGCCCGCGUCAGAUUAGCUAGUUGGUGGGGUAAUGGCCUACCAAGGCUCCGAUCUGUAGCUGGUCUGAGAGGAUGACCAGCCACACUGGAACUGAGACACGGUCCAGACUCCUACGGGAGGCAGCAGUGGGGAAUAUUGGACAAUGGGGGAAACCCUGAUCCAGCCAUGCCGCGUGAAUGAUGAAGGCCUUAGGGUUGUAAAGUUCUUUUGCAGGGGACGAUGAUGACGGUACCCUGAGAAUAAGCUCCGGCUAACUUCGUGCCAGCCGCCGCAGUAA
Molecule: ribosomal RNA, 449 nt
Filed under: uncultured bacterium
Lineage: Bacteria
Description: partial 16S ribosomal RNA
Rfam family: Bacterial small subunit ribosomal RNA
Source: RNAcentral